AAUCUUCCGCAAUGGACGCAAGUCUGACGGAGCAACGCUUCUUGUACGACGAAGGCCUUCGGGUUGUAAAGUACUGUCUUUAGGGACGAACGGCAGGACUGUGAAUAAUGCUUCUGCAUGACGGUACCUGAGGAGUAAGACCCUGCUAACUACGUGCCAGCAGCCGCGGUAAUACGUAGGGGGCAAGCGUUGUCCGGAAUCAUUGGGCGUAAAGGGCGCGUAGGCGGAUGAUUAAGUCUGGUGUGAAAACCUAGGGCUCAACCCUGGGAGUGCAUCGGAAACUGGUUAUCUUGAGGACAGGAGAGGAAAGUGGAAUUACACGUGUAGCGGUGAAAUGCGUAGAUAUGUGGAGGAACACCAGUGGCGAAGGCGACUUUCUGGACUGUAACUGACGCUGAGGCGCGAAAGCGUGGGGAGCAAACCGG
This 425-nucleotide ribosomal RNA is filed under the name uncultured bacterium. RNAcentral describes it as "partial 16S ribosomal RNA". It matches the Rfam family "Bacterial small subunit ribosomal RNA", at positions 360 to 776 of the family's 1533-position model. The record is from RNAcentral.